Molecule: non-coding RNA, 1082 nt
Organism: Callorhinus ursinus (northern fur seal)
Lineage: Eukaryota; Metazoa; Chordata; Mammalia; Carnivora; Otariidae
Source: RefSeq, a predicted model, not a curated record
CUGCUCCGUGAGUAGGCAGCCGCUGCCGGCCACCCUCAAAGGCCACCAUUCCACGGGGCAGACGGAAUCCAGUGUGAUACCUGUGAUCACGGGCAGCGAGAUGCGCGUCUUCUCAAGUUUUUAAGGAUUCCUCUUCCUAGGCAUGCAUUAAGGAUUUCGACAUUUUACAGUGAAAGUAAAAUGGAAGCCUGCAAUCCUUGUUGCUUUGCCUCUCAAGAUCAUCUCUCUCACUUCCCGGGCAUCGUCACGUGAACUAAAGCACGGAUUUACGUGAGGGAAGAGAAGAGGCAUCGGGGGCCUGCCUCCUGCCCGGCGUCAUGGGGACCCCACGGUGGCAGCUGGUGGGCAGGCUGAUCCCCCAGCUCAUCCUCGGACCUCUCUCAUCUCGCUCAUUUCCUCCGACGCCCCAGGUGGACUUCGAAGAAAAAAGCAGAGAGGAGCAAAAAGAAUAUCAAUUAUUCCAAUAAUGGUCAUGAGCCAUGGAAAUCCGAUUGCCUUUGCGAUAGCCCCACCAGCAGAAGGACCUUUCAGGAAACAGAGAAUUAGACUGACCUCUCUCCAGAUGUCUCACAGAUAGGAAGGCUGGGACAGGAAGCAUAAAGAGCAUGUGUGCUGAGUCCUAGGUUCAAGUCCCUGGCGGGGUGAGCACGGCCAUUCUUCUCUCUCCAAACACUGGCUUCCCCAUCCAUAAAAUGGUGCAGAUAAUGAUCGGCUGAAAGGAGACUGUAUCAUCCGUGGACCCCUCCAGCAGGGUACUCCAAAGUUAGCUCCCUCACCCCCACCAAGGACUAGCGGCAAGAAGAGGAGGGAAGUUUCUUUCAUUCAAUGAGUAUUCCUUGAUCCCCUAACAUGUGGAGGGUGCUGGGGCCAUGGGGUGAACAAAAUGGACAGAAGGGGCGGACGGGCCGCAAAGAGCUGAAAUACGAAUCACAGUUGUCACACACAUCAUGAGGUGCUGUGUGAGGACAAACCUAACCCAGCCUGGGGAGUCUGCAGAGGCUCCCUUCUCUCUUUCCACAGUACCAAAGAUUCAAUUCUCGCCUUUAGCCUGUGAUAGAUUUAGCAUUUACUUUUAUUAGGUG